GAGAAGCUGCAAAGGCGCAGGAAGCAACCUAUUACUGUGCUUACUGGCAGCCCACAGCCCGAGAGAACCCCCAGCUGCCAGCACACAACUUGGCUGCGCUCUCCCUGCGGGCAGGGGCUGCAGCCCUCCCCUGGUGCUGCCCUGCUGCCUGGCUGGGCAGCUCACCUGGGCUGGGACGUGACAAACAGCACACGGGGCUGUGCGGCUGCUGUGGGCGACCGGCCUGCAAGGGGGAGAAGGGAAAGGGAGCUGCACGCCGGGGAGAGGCAAGGUCCAGUUUAACCCCAGGUGUCUGCUGGGUGUGGCUGUGGAGGGAAAUGGCCGCAAAUGCUUCUUGACCCCUUGGCACAUCGCACAGCCUCACUGGGUAACACAGAAACAAGUGAUUUCCGCUGCUCGGAUCUGCUUUGCCACCCCUCAAGUGUGACCCUGAGGCCAAACCUUCCACAGGUCCACAGGGAAGCUCCAAGUUCAAGCAGCAACCAUGUGGCUGCUGACAGCUCUUGUCCUGGCAGCUGCCUUCUCCUGUGGCUCUGCGCAAGCCCUGCUGCAAAGUCCGGUGUCCAUCACCAAGCCUGAAAGCAAAACGGUGCUCAUCACGUGCCGCAUCUCCGUCUCCAGCUUGGACAAAGUGUUCAUUCACUGGUACCGCAAGAGGCCUGGGGCAGCUCCUAAGCGCAUUGCCUACAUGGCAACCAGGCUGUUCCUUGAGAAUGAGUCUGAUGAGGGCAAAUUCAGCAUGGAGAAGGACCUGGCCAGAUCUGAGUGCACCCUGACAGUGGGCAGAGUCACUGCACAAGACGCUGCUACCUACUACUGUGCCAGAUGGGAUGCACAGCAGCACAGAGCCAUAGGGAACCUGCACAAAGUCAUGUUAUGUUUGCCCCAGACUAUGAGGGCCCUCUGUUCUGCUGCUUUCUCACAGCAUCUCCUGAUGGCUGCGUGGGGCCCCUCUCUGGGUGGCCGCUACUGAGUCACAUCCUCCCCUCAGGCACAGCCCCUGUCCCUCCCACACAGCUGGGGGCUUUCUCUGGGGCAGAGGCAAGCAGGCACCGAGAGAAUGCUGCUGC
Numida meleagris (helmeted guineafowl) is the source of this 1070-nucleotide non-coding RNA. Lineage: Eukaryota; Metazoa; Chordata; Aves; Galliformes; Numididae. The record is from the annotation of a RefSeq genome assembly.